Molecule: ribosomal RNA, 400 nt
Filed under: uncultured bacterium
Lineage: Bacteria
Description: bacterial SSU rRNA
Rfam family: Bacterial small subunit ribosomal RNA
Source: RNAcentral
GAGGGAUAUUGCACAAUGGGCGAAAGCCUGAUGCAGCGACGCCGCGUGAGGGAAGACGGUCCUCUGGAUUGUAAACCUCUGUCUUCAGGGACGAAAAUGACGGUACCUGAGGAGGAAGCUCCGGCUAACUACGUGCCAGCAGCCGCGGUAAUACGUAGGGAGCAAGCGUUGUCCGGAAUUACUGGGUGUAAAGGGAGCGUAGGCGGGAAUGUCAGUCUGUUGUGAAAUCUACCGGCUCAACCGGUAGCUGCGGCAGAAACUACAUUUCUUGAGUGAAGUAGAGGCAGGCGGAAUUCCUAGUGUAGCGGUGAAAUGCGUAGAUAUUAGGAGGAACACCAGUGGCGAAGGCGGCCUGCUGGGCUUUUACUGACGCUGAGGCUCGAAAGUGUGGGGAGCAAAC